CUGUCCCGGCCCACUGCAGCACUGGCCAGCCUCUCCAGCUUCCUCCAGGCAUCCAGCCGCUCACAGGGGGCGGUGGAGAGACCCAAUGGCAGAGGCAGAGAGGAGGGCAAUUCUGGAAGCCGUCAGGGCAGAUCUGGGGGCGUCUGGAGGAGUCUAGACUUGAGCCUCAGCUCCCACCCCCGCUGCUUGAGGUGAGCGGGUGUGUCAGGCCAGGCAGGGACUCAAGCUGGUGACUCAAGCCCGACAGCUGCAUGGUCCUCAGCAAGGAGUCCUCCCUCCCGCAGCCCCAAGGUGGAAUCUUAGAAGCUGGGAAUUCCAGAACCAGAGAGCAGAGUCCCAGAAGGAAGGGACCUCAGGGAUCCUGCCUCUCCUUUGUGUGAGAGGAAACUAACUGGAGGACCACAAAAGGGCAUGGCCAGCUUGGGGGUCACCCAGGUGUCAGGGAAAUCAUUAGUCACAGAAGAGGGGCUGCUUGGGUUCAGUACAAACCAGCUUAGUCCCAACGGGUGUCAGCCAGACCCCUCCGCACCCUCUUCCUCACCAGCGAGGGGCCUGGGUUCUUCAGUGUGGAAAGAAAUGUCAGUCUUUCCCACAGCCUACGUUCCCACCUCUCAUCCCGGAGUGGGCAAGCCCCUGCCCCCGUGCUGGGCCUCUCUCCUGUCCUUCCCCGCUGCAGAUGAUGAGGCCGGGACAGGUGUGGGGCCCUCUAGGCUCAGGUGAGGGGUUAUGAGCUAAGGUUUCAAGAGGAGCCUGAGAGCAGGGGACCCAGGUCUCAGCGAGAGCUGCGUGGGGAGGAGGAGCCACCUUGCCUGAUGCAGGUUGCAGCCAGAAGGGGGGACCCAGAAGAUUCCUCAGCCGCCCAACCAGCCCCUAAGUCCAUCGCAGCCCACCCCAGGACGUGCCUGAGUAGAAGGAGACCCAAGACACAGGCACAGCCUUCCAUCCAUUGAGGAAGUAUUUUCUGAGCUCCUACUCUCUGCCAAGCACAUCCACUCCCGCUCCUCCCACCAAGUUCUGGAGCCAGGACGGGACCUCCAGAGCAAGCACUGUGGGACGGGUGUCCAGAAGAACCCACUUCUACCACCGCCAGCCUCUGCUGCCCGCAGGCUGCCUGUGUCUCAGCCCCAGCCCCCGUCCUCACAGCUGCAAAUAAAGGCUCAAUCUUUCAUCAAAACUUUCCUGCAAUUGUCCUUCUGUCAUCACAGCCCCUGAUGCAGAAACCAACCAAGGAGCUGUAGAAACACAGAGGCAGAAAGGUGAGGUCAUCCCGUCUAGCACCCAGUCUCAGGGCAAGAACGCGUUCCACAGCCCAGCUGAGUCUCAGAGAGAGUCCACCCUCCCACAGCCUUCUUUGGCUCACUUCUCCCCAGGGUUUGCCCACAUUCCUCCAGGGAAGUCCUUCCUGGAGGCUAACUUAAGUGCCUCCUGCUGUCGCUUUAACUUCUCAAGGGGAUGAAACCCAGAAGAUAGGCUUAUUUUCUCAAGGGGCUCAGGGACUGGGGUGGGGAGUGCUGUGGGCGCACAAGUGGGAAAACUUUCUCCACCUCUCUCAGCUUUCUUUUCUUUCUCUUCUCCACACCUCAUUCUUUCCCUUUCCCUCCUCUCUCUUUAGUCGUCUCCCACUCAACUCAGCUGCUGGCUGGGAGCCAGCAUUGUUCCUGCCUGGCUCCCCUCUCCCCUCCUCCUUCCCUCUCUGCGCCCCCCUCCAGCCAGCCCAGUCCCUGGCAUGCGGUAGCCCCAGCUGGGGGGCAGGGCAGCACGCAAGACCUUUCCUGCCCCGUCUUCUGCCUCCUCCUCACUCUUCCCUUCCAGUCCCCAUUGAUGGCCCCCACCCAGCAUAGGAGGCUGGGGAGCUUGGGUUACCCAGGCCCCUGGUUAUUUUUAUUGCCACCAGCUCAGGAGAUAAAUAUACCUCCCCUCCCCGCAGCUGUCCUGGACGGAGUAACACAUCCCUUCCCAAUUCACUCCCUCUCCUACCGUUCAUCCACUCACCUCAACGUCGAGUUGACUCACCCGAACGUCUUCUGCUCACAUUCUCUCCUAGUCAGUCCCUCUGGACCCUGGACUCCCUGCAGAAAGACAGCUUGACCCCCAAGCUCAGAAAUGGGACGGGAGGAGAGCCUCGGUGUCUUGGCUCCACCUAGUGGCUUCUCGAGACACCACACCUAGCGAAGGGGUCUAGCGGGAGCCUCGCCUUGAUGCCACCCGGCUGGGGCAGGACUUCACAACACUGCGGGGAGGAGGCGCCGCGCAGAAGUUGCUUCUGCUAGUGGUUGAGCCUCCAGGCUGAGCCUGGGCCCUGAGACCCCUCUCCCACUUGGCCAGGCGAGGGGCUGGUGGUCUACAGCCCACUGCCUCUUCCUCCUUGUGAUUCCAAACCGUUCUGUUAGAUCCCACAAUCCAGGGAGGUUCUUGGAAUUCAUUUGCGGGUCUCUGGAAAUAGUUAAGGGCAGAAACUGAAGCUCCCCAGAGAGGACAGAAGGGGAACCCAGGGAUCAAGAUGGACUGCUGUUCAUUCCCAGCUUGUUAGAGUUCCUGGGAUUCAAGAAGCCACCAGUCCUCUAGAACAGAUCUCAAAAUGAAUCCCCCAAGAGUGGUUAUCUGGUCUGUGUUUGAACACCCAGGAACAGGGUCCUCACUCCCUCUGGUGGCAGUUCGUUCCAGGACAGAGACAAGUAUUGUGACUGGCUCGUUUGGGCUGAAAUUGGUGCCUGUAGCUUCCACCCUUCAGACCUGGUUCUGCCUCCUGGAACCAUAUAAGAAAAGUCCAAGCUCUUUUACCCAAGAGCCUUUUAGACACUUAAGAUGGCCCCACUCUAGGUUUUAUUUAUUUUGAAAUAGUUCAUGUACUCGAUCAAUAAAGAAUCACAUUCCAGACGGUGGUGUGCGUCUCUCAAGCCCCCACAGCUCCCAAGCAUCAAUUCCCUGCUGGCUUCUCUUUUUUUGUGUGUGAUGGAGUCUCGCUCUGUCGUCCAGACUGGAGUGCAGUGGCGUGAUCUUGGCUUGCUACAACGUCUGCCUCCUGGGUUCACGUGAUUCUCCUGCCUCAGCCUCCCGAGUAACUGGAACUACAGGCAAAGGCACCUGCCAUCACGCCCAGCUAAUUUUUGUAUUUUUUGUAGAGAUGAGGUCUCACCGCGUUGGCCAGGCUGGUCUUGAACUCCUGACCUCAAGUGAUCCGACCGCUUUGGCCUCCCAAAGUGAUGGGAUUACAGGCGUGAGCCACCACACCUGUCCCCUGCUGGCAUCUCUUUCUUCCUCCCAAGUCAGAGCCACUGUCCUCUCCAUUCUUUUUAUUGUUAUUUUGCCUUUUGAAAAUAUUUUUGCAUGCUGGGCAUGGUGGCUCAUACCUGUAAUGCCAGCACUGUAGGAGGCUGAGGAGGGCAGGUCACUUGAGUGCAGGAGUUUGAGACCAGCCUGGGUAACAUAGUGGCGAGACCUAUCUCUAUUUUUAAAAACAUUUUAAGCCAGGUGUGGUGUCUCACGCCUGUAAUCCCAGCACUUUGGGAGGCUGAGGCAGGCAGAUCACCUGAGGUCAGGAGUUUGAGACCAGCCUGACCAACAUGGUGAAACCCCAUCUCUACUAAAAAUACAAAAAUUAGGUGGGCAUGGUGGUACACGCCUGUAAUCCCAGCUACUUGGGAGGCUGAGGCAGGAGAAUCACUUGAACCUGGGAGGUGGAGGUUGCAGUGAGCCGAGAUGGCGCCACUGCACUCCAGUCUGGGCAACAAGAGUGAAACUCUAUCUCAAAAGCAAACAAACAAACAAAAAACAUUUUAAGGCCAGGCAUGGUGGCUCACGCCUGUAAUUCCAGCACUUUGAGAGGCCGAGGUGGGAGGAUCACCAGAGCUCAAGAGUUAGAGACAAGCCUGGCCAAUAUGGUGAAAUCCCGUCUCUACUAAAAAAUACAAAAUAGCCGGGCGUGGUGGCGGGCGCCUGUAUACCCAGCUACUUAGGAGGCUGAGGCAGGAGAAUCACUGGAACCCGGGAAGCAGAGGUUGCAGUGAGCCAAGAUUCCGCCAUCGCACUCCAGCCUGGGUGACAGAGUGAGACUCCGUCUCAAAAAAUAAUAAUAAUAAUAAUAAAAAAUAAUUGUAAAAAUAAAAAAUAAUUAAAAAAAUA
Long non-coding RNA from Homo sapiens (human), 4122 nucleotides. NCBI's taxonomy places the organism in Eukaryota, Metazoa, Chordata, Mammalia, Primates, Hominidae. The record is from Ensembl.